AUGGGUGACUUAUUCUCCUCCAGGCACAUGAGUUGGCAUCUCUUUCUCUGCAUAGAGGUACCAAACCUUGCCAAGUUCUUGGCCUCUUCCAACAAAGCAGAGGGUCAAGAAGACACACAGGUUCUGCUGGACUCUUCAGGCCAUGGCAGUCCCAAGUACCAGAACCAGGUCUGCCUUGUACCUGUGCUGCUCUGUACCUCUCCACAGGCCCAGCAGGGGCUCUGCCGAUGCUCAGGGUCGUGCAGGCCCAUCCUGAAACCUGGCACACAAAAAUGGAUCCAGUCCAGACUGAAUAACUGGCCUCCCCUCUAGUCAGCAUCCCCAGAGACAUGGCAAGGACGCAGUCCACAGAAGGUGAGUGCAGAGCUGGAUGCACUGUCACUGAAAUUACACCCUUAACUUUCAGAGGGAGAAGACAGCUCAAAGAAGGAAUAGUAGUAGAAGGCUCCCCUUGUGAUCUGAUGCUUGCAUAGCUGCAUCCAAUGUUGCUGAACCUAGAGCCUACAGGCCUGUUUUGUUCUUUUCAAGACAACCCCUGGCCUGAGUUGAACAAAUAGAAAAGA
RNAcentral lists this long non-coding RNA (563 nucleotides) under Manacus vitellinus (golden-collared manakin). Its description in RNAcentral is "lncRNA (ENSMVIG00005012498.1)". The record is from RNAcentral. Lineage: Eukaryota; Metazoa; Chordata; Aves; Passeriformes; Pipridae.